Molecule: long non-coding RNA, 770 nt
Filed under: Physcomitrium patens
Lineage: Eukaryota; Viridiplantae; Streptophyta; Bryopsida; Funariales; Funariaceae
Description: long non-coding RNA (PPAT_LNC009675)
Source: RNAcentral
AUAUACCAGGCACCUGACUACAGAAGAUAAAAGGAAAAUUGAAAUAAUUUUUAACAACUCUAAUAGAUUUUUAGACAAAUUAGAAUUAAAGAUAAGCAAGUAUAAACAAAUAUCAAGAAUUAUGUAAGAACACAAAAUAUUCUUAAAGAUCCUUUAAAAAAAUCAUAAAGAAGAAUAUAGAAAUUCAAAAAUAUUCUAAAAUAGAAAUCUUAAUAAAAUAUUAAAAUAAAAAUCUUAAUUAAAUCUUACUCAAAUUCUAAAUAAAUCCUAAUCAAAUCUUAAAUAAAUCCUAAUAAAAUCUUAAUCAAAUCCUAAAUAAAUCUUAACCAAACUCUAGUCAAAUCCUAAACAAACCUUAAUCAAACCUUAAUGAAAUCCAAAAUAAAUCCUAAACAAAUCCUAAUCAAAUCCUAAAUAAAUCCUAAUCAAAUCUUAAAUAAAUUCUAAUCAAAUCCUAAUAAGUCCUAAUCAAAUCCUAAUCAAAUCCUAAUAAGUCCUAAUCAAAUCCUAAACAAACCUUAACCAAACUCUAGGCAAACUAUAAACAAAUCCUAACCAAAUUCUAAUCAAAUCCUAAAUAAAUUUAAACAAAUCUUAAUCGAAUCCUAAUCAAAUCCUAAAUAAUCCAAAGUAAUUAUUAUAGAAAAUUUAAACCUCAAUAACUAAUGAAUGAACCAUUGAUUUUAAUUCAAAUUUUAUACACUUCUUUACAACUAAAAUGAAAACAAGCACAAAUAUUUUGAAGAAGAUCAAACUCACCUAAAAGAAGA